This 505-nucleotide ribosomal RNA is filed under the name uncultured bacterium. Its description in RNAcentral is "bacterial SSU rRNA". It matches the Rfam family "Bacterial small subunit ribosomal RNA", at positions 15 to 507 of the family's 1533-position model. The record is from RNAcentral.
GAUCCUGGCUCAGGAUGAACGCUAGCUACAGGCUUAACACAUGCAAGUCGAGGGGAAACGAUAGAGAAAGCUUGCUUUUUCUAGGCGUCGACCGGCGCACGGGUGAGUAACGCGUAUCCAACCUGCCCAUCACUUGGGGAUAACCUUGCGAAAGUAAGACUAAUACCCAAUGACGUCUCUAGAAGACAUCUGAAGGAGAUUAAAGAUUUAUCGGUGAUGGAUGGGGAUGCGUCUGAUUAGCUUGUUGGCGGGGUAACGGCCCACCAAGGCGACGAUCAGUAGGGGUUCUGAGAGGAAGGUCCCCCACAUUGGAACUGAGACACGGUCCAAACUCCUACGGGAGGCAGCAGUGAGGAAUAUUGGUCAAUGGACGAGAGUCUGAACCAGCCAAGUAGCGUGCAGGAUGACGGCCCUAUGGGUUGUAAACUGCUUUUAUAAGGGAAUAAAGUGGGAGUCGUGACUCUUUUUGCAUGUACCUUAUGAAUAAGGACCGGCUAAUUCCGUG